This 71-nucleotide transfer RNA is filed under the name Camelus bactrianus (Bactrian camel). It matches the Rfam family "tRNA". Rfam says of the family: Transfer RNA (tRNA) molecules are approximately 80 nucleotides in length. The record is from Rfam by way of RNAcentral. Lineage: Eukaryota; Metazoa; Chordata; Mammalia; Artiodactyla; Camelidae. RNAcentral also lists the same sequence under 1 other name.
GGAGGGAUAGCUCAAUGGUAGAGUAUGUGCUUAGCAUGCACGAGGUCAUGGGUUCAAUCCCUAAACCUCCA